RNAcentral lists this ribosomal RNA (1033 nucleotides) under uncultured Lactobacillus sp. RNAcentral's name for it is "bacterial SSU rRNA". It matches the Rfam family "Bacterial small subunit ribosomal RNA", at positions 355 to 1381 of the family's 1533-position model. Lineage: Bacteria; Bacillati; Bacillota; Bacilli; Lactobacillales; Lactobacillaceae. The record is from RNAcentral.
UAGGGAAUCUUCCACAAUGGACGCAAGUCUGAUGGAGCAACGCCGCGUGAGUGAAGAAGGUUUUCGGAUCGUAAAGCUCUGUUGUUGGUGAAGAAGGAUAGAGGUAGUAACUGGCCUUUAUUUGACGGUAAUCAACCAGAAAGUCACGGCUAACUACGUGCCAGCAGCCGCGGUAAUACGUAGGUGGCAAGCGUUGUCCGGAUUUAUUGGGCGUAAAGCGAGCGCAGGCGGAAGAAUAAGUCUGAUGUGAAAGCCCUCGGCUUAACCGAGGAACUGCAUCGGAAACUGUUUUUCUUGAGUGCAGAAGAGGAGAGUGGAACUCCAUGUGUAGCGGUGGAAUGCGUAGAUAUAUGGAAGAACACCAGUGGCGAAGGCGGCUCUCUGGUCUGCAACUGACGCUGAGGCUCGAAAGCAUGGGUAGCGAACAGGAUUAGAUACCCUGGUAGUCCAUGCCGUAAACGAUGAGUGCUAAGUGUUGGGAGGUUUCCGCCUCUCAGUGCUGCAGCUAACGCAUUAAGCACUCCGCCUGGGGAGUACGACCGCAAGGUUGAAACUCAAAGGAAUUGACGGGGGCCCGCACAAGCGGUGGAGCAUGUGGUUUAAUUCGAAGCAACGCGAAGAACCUUACCAGGUCUUGACAUCUAGUGCCAUUUGUAGAGAUACAAAGUUCCCUUCGGGGACGCUAAGACAGGUGGUGCAUGGCUGUCGUCAGCUCGUGUCGUGAGAUGUUGGGUUAAGUCCCGCAACGAGCGCAACCCUUGUUAUUAGUUGCCAGCAUUAAGUUGGGCACUCUAAUGAGACUGCCGGUGACAAACCGGAGGAAGGUGGGGAUGACGUCAAGUCAUCAUGCCCCUUAUGACCUGGGCUACACACGUGCUACAAUGGGCAGUACAACGAGAAGCGAGCCUGCGAAGGCAAGCGAAUCUCUGAAAGCUGUUCUCAGUUCGGACUGCAGUCUGCAACUCGACUGCACGAAGCUGGAAUCGCUAGUAAUCGCGGAUCAGCACGCCGCGGUGAAUACGUUCCCGGGCCU